UCGGCACACCUGCUCCUAAGGCAGCAGCAGAUGCAUUCCUACGUGGUUCCAGUGUGCAUCGGAGUACCGAAAAAGAGCAGUGGCAGGCACUUAAGUGAUCACAGGUGCUGGCUUUCUUCUAAUCCUUCUGGGUUAACCACUUUCCCUGCUAUUCUACCUUUGCGCCCUUGUUUCACUCUCCCGGGUUCUUGGCUUGUUUUAAGUUGCCUGCGAUCAUUUAACAGAACUCAGGCAGCUAAAGCAAGUCUGGAAACCAGGAGCAAGCACGACCCUGGCAACAAUCUUUGGAAGUACUUGGGAAGAAGAAUGGCAUUCAUUUAAGUCAUAUAUGGUGACACAGUCCAAUUCUGAGUUACAGAAAUGGACUAUGAAGAUAGGAAGAAAUGCCUGAAAAUGUUUCACAGAAAGAAAUGGUAUGCAUGGAUGACGGGAGCAAGGUAGUCAUAAAACCCGACCGCACAGUAUUAUUUGUGCAAACAGAGUUUUUUCAAAUGUGCAGUGAUUGAAGUCCAUAGCGUGAUAUUGACUGGGCUAAUAUUUAAAGCAAAUAGCAAGGAUGUUCAACAGAUGUGUAAGUGCAGAUGCCUUUUUUUUAUGCAGGAACAAUUUUUAUCAAGGGCUUGAAUUGUUAGUUUUGCAAUAUAUACUUAGUUUGCACUUUAACAGUUUUCUUUGUUUGUUACUGGCUUAAUAUGCAAUGUAGUUCUUUAAGUCUGUUCUGGAAUGUUUAUCAGAUUAUGUAAUAGUAUACAGAAUACAGAUUUAAGAUUUCUGAUUUCAGUGACUGAAAUGUUAAAAUCAAAUACAGGACUGGUAUGAUUUAGAAUACUGCAAUGAGUGUAGUAGAUUGUUAACAAUCACUGGUGCAGACCUUGAACUAGUCCGUAACUUUGCAGUCUUCUGUAGGAUAUAGGUUCCAGGAUUAUAAAGGCAAAUGUAUGUUACACAAUGAAAGUACUUUAAAAAUGAAAUGUGAUUUUUGUUUUUCAUUUUCUUCUCAUGCAAAUGAAGUACUGUUUUGACUCUGCUUUUGCUAAGCUAUGGCUCCAGUGUUUAAUCCUUGAUAAACUACUUAAUCUUGUUCCUA
Molecule: long non-coding RNA, 1087 nt
Organism: Protopterus annectens (West African lungfish)
Lineage: Eukaryota; Metazoa; Chordata; Ceratodontiformes; Protopteridae
Exons: 2
Source: RefSeq, a predicted model, not a curated record